GUCGCUGGUCAGACCUCAUGACUCACUUGGACUCUUGAGCCACCUCUGGGGGUGGAGUCUCUCUCCUGGCAUCUGGACCCUUGGUGCUAUCGACGAAGCUUGGCUGGCGCUCUUAGCUGCUAUGUGCAAGACGUGUGUCCCAGGGAAAGCCCCUCUCUCUCUGCAGAGGUCAAGUGAAAGCCACGGCCGCAGCCAACAGAGUUCAAAAUGCAGGCUUGGAAAGUCCAGGGGGCUCUGUGGAGGAUGGGAAGGACUGAUCCACAUUCCCACCAGGAAGUUUAGCAGAACCCCCGCGUGCCACCUGGACCCCUUGGAAGGACCUGGCUCAGGCUGGACCACCUCUUGAGAGGCAGGAGCUCUGGAUUUGAUCAAGAAUUCUUUGCUGAGCAUGGUGCCUCAUGCCUAUAAUCCCAACACUUUGGGAGGCCAGUGUGGGAGGAUCUCUUGAGCCCAGGAGUUCAAGACUAGCCUGGGCAACACAGAGAGACCCCAUCUCUAAAAUAAUAAUAAUAAUAAAAUAAAAAAUUAGCAGGGCAUGGUGGCAUGUGCCUGUAGUCCCAGCUACCCAGGAGGCUGAGGCAAGAGGAUGGCUGGAGCCUGGGAUGUUGAGGCUGCAAUGAACUGUGAUUACCCCACUGCACUCCAGCCUGGGCAAAAGAGCGAGAGACCCUGUCUCAAAUAAUAAUAAUAAUAAUAAUCUUAUUUUGGAGAAUAAAGAGACCUCUGGAUUUGAGGUGCCAUUUGGGUAGAAAGAAAAGACGUUUACACCGAGAAAUAGUCUGUGUUGCCCUGAAGGAGCAGAGGGAUGCAUCGCUGGAGGUGACCUACAGUUGAAGAAGACUCAUUAUGACAGACCUUGUCCUUCUUCCUUGUGGAAAGUGUUUCCUCUGCUGCUACUGCUCAUGAGACUCUUCCCCCUCCCUGUCCCAGGGAACCAAAGGGCUUUCUACCACACCCUUUCUUGCCCCCCGCCUCCCAUGUCUGCUGUGCCUUUGUACUCAGCAAUUCUUGUUUGCUCCAUUAUCUUCCAGCCGGAUACAGAGUGAAUAGUUAACCACACUUAGGUCAAAUAGGAUCUAAAUUUUUGUUCCUGCUCCGUGUAAAGAGGCCAGUGUUUGUGUGUUGCAAGCAGCCUUGGAAUAGUAACUCUUCUCAUUUGUUUGGGAUCUGGCCACCAAGUUCCAGAAUGAUACACGGAUCAGUGCAGAAGUUCAUCAGGCUCUCGGACCUUAGGGCUGUUGGAGAAGGCUUCAGCAGCAGAACUGAUGGUGAAGGCUCGUGUUCUCCAUCCUCAACUUUCUUUGCUUCGAUCAUACACAAGAAUACAUUUGGAAGGGCAAAAAAUGAACACUGUCGUUCAUUGCAGCCGUGUUUUGUGACACAGAUGCACAGUCUGCUGUGAAGACCUUCUCUCAAGUGGCAUUUGGGAGUCCAUGCCAGAUCAUGGUGCUUCAUGAGAGACUGACAGCUAUCAGGGGUUGUGGCACUUAGUGAGGACUCUCCUCCCCCAGUGUGUGCUGAUGACACAUACACACCUGACAAUAGCUUGAGUCUUCUCUGUUCCUUUUACUCUGUAGCCAACAUACACAUGAUUUAAAACCCUUUCUAAAUAUCUAUCAUGGUUCAUCCUUGUCCAAAUGCAGAGUCAGAGCUAUUUGUACUUCAUUAUUAUUUCCAAGGCGAAUAGUUGGCUUUCUUUUUGCAAAAAUAAUUAAAGUUUUUGUAUGUUGCA
This 1732-nucleotide long non-coding RNA is filed under the name Homo sapiens (human). RNAcentral's name for it is "long intergenic non-protein coding RNA 511". Lineage: Eukaryota; Metazoa; Chordata; Mammalia; Primates; Hominidae. The record is from RNAcentral.